This 354-nucleotide transfer-messenger RNA is filed under the name Rhodopseudomonas rhenobacensis. RNAcentral describes it as "Alphaproteobacteria transfer-messenger RNA". It matches the Rfam family "Alphaproteobacteria transfer-messenger RNA". From Rfam's summary of the family: Bacterial tmRNA, also known as 10Sa RNA or SsrA, is named for its dual tRNA and mRNA-like properties. The record is from Rfam by way of RNAcentral. Lineage: Bacteria; Pseudomonadati; Pseudomonadota; Alphaproteobacteria; Hyphomicrobiales; Nitrobacteraceae.
GGCCUUCCGUUGCGCCAAUUCGCGCCUAUAUUUCGCAGGCCGGUUCGCCGGCUAUGACAAUAAAGUGCCGUCGCAAUAAACCAUUCGGACCCGGGGGCAGUACCCGGCGCCUCCACCCAAGCCCGCAAGUCCGGCGGGCUUCGGCGGGGGCGAUCCAGGAUCGACGAGGGCGUAAAGGGCGAGCUUUUGUCCGGUAUGGUUCCGCCGUGAUCGGGCCAUGCAAUAGUUGCCAACGACAACUAUGCUCCGGUUGCUCAGGCGGCGUAACGCCGUUUGAAAGACCACGCUGAAGCCCUGGCGGGUUAAGCUCCGUCGGGCGGGGUUCGGAGGCGCCUGGCAACAGAAGCCUCCACU